RNAcentral lists this ribosomal RNA (253 nucleotides) under uncultured bacterium. RNAcentral's name for it is "partial 16S ribosomal RNA". It matches the Rfam family "Bacterial small subunit ribosomal RNA", at positions 524 to 776 of the family's 1533-position model. The record is from RNAcentral.
UACGGAGGAGGCAAGCGUUAUCCGGAAUCAUUGGGCGUAAAGCGCGUGUAGGCGGUUCGGUAAGUCCGCUGUGAAAGUCGGGGGCUCAACCCUCGGAUGCCGGUGGAUACUGUCGGACUAGAGUACGGAAGAGGCGAGUGGAAUUCCUGGUGUAGCGGUGAAAUGCGCAGAUAUCAGGAGGAACACCGAUUGCGAAGGCAGCUCGCUGGGACGUUACUGACGCUGAGACGCGAAAGCUAGGGGAGCGAACGGG